UUAAGUCAGGCAACAAGCGAGACCCACGCCCACAGUUGCCAGCGUACUCUCUGGAGUGACGGGUACACUGUGGGGACCGCCGCUGCUAAAGCGGAGGAAGGAAUGGGCAACGGCAGGUCAGUAUGCCCCGAAUGUCCCGGGCUACACGCGGGCUACAAUGGUUGGUACAAUGGGUAUCUACCCCGAAAGGGGAUGGAAAUCUCCUAAAGCCAAUCUUAGUUCGGAUCGAGGGCUGCAACUCGCCCUCGUGAAGCUGGAAUCCGUAGUAAUCGCGUUUCAAUAGAACGCGGUGAAUACGUCCCUGCUCCUUGCACA
Molecule: ribosomal RNA, 315 nt
Filed under: uncultured archaeon
Lineage: Archaea
Description: bacterial SSU rRNA
Rfam family: Archaeal small subunit ribosomal RNA
Source: RNAcentral